This 96-nucleotide microRNA precursor is filed under the name Nicotiana sylvestris (wood tobacco). Its description in RNAcentral is "MIR6152 microRNA precursor family". It matches the Rfam family "MIR6152 microRNA precursor family". The record is from Rfam by way of RNAcentral. Lineage: Eukaryota; Viridiplantae; Streptophyta; Magnoliopsida; Solanales; Solanaceae. RNAcentral also lists the same sequence under 1 other name.
UAGACAGAUUAUUGUAUUCGACUGUAUUCACAACGUGAAAUAGGGGAUUACACUAUUUUUAAAAGGAAAAUGAAUCAAUUAACAAAAUAGACUCCU